AUUGAACGCUGGCGGCAGGCCUAACACAUGCAAGUCGAACGAGUAGCGGACGGGUGAGUAAUGUCUGGGCAACUGCCUGAUGGAGGGGGAUAACUACUGGAAACGGUAGCUAAUACCGCAUACCAUCAGAUGUGCCCAGAUGGGAUGCUCUUGUUGGUGGGGUAACGGCGCACCAAGGCGACGAUCCCUAGCUGGUCUGAGAGGAUGACCAGCCACACUGGAACUGAGACACGGUCCAGACUCCUACGGUAGGCAGUAGUGGGGAUUAUUGAACGAUGGGCGCAAGACUGUGGCAGCCAUUCCGCGUGUAGGAAGAAGGCUUUCGGGUUGUAAAGUACUUUCAGCGGGGAGGCGUUACCCGCAUAAGAAGCACCGGCUAACUCCGUGCCAGCAGCCGCGGUAAUAC
Molecule: ribosomal RNA, 406 nt
Filed under: uncultured bacterium
Lineage: Bacteria
Description: partial 16S ribosomal RNA
Rfam family: Bacterial small subunit ribosomal RNA
Source: RNAcentral